GGGGGAUAUUGCACAAUGGGCGCAAGCCUGAUGCAGCGACGCCGCGUGAGGGAAGACGGUCUUCGGAUUGUAAACCUCUGUCUUCGGGGACGAUAAUGACGGUACCCGAGGAGGAAGCUCCGGCUAACUACGUGCCAGCAGCCGCGGUAAUACGUAGGGGGCUAGCGUUAUCCGGAAUUACUGGGCGUAAAGGGUGCGUAGGUGGUUUUUUAAGUCAGAAGUGAAAGGCUACGGCUCAACCGUAGUAAGCUUUUGAAACUAGAGUACUUGAGUGCAGGAGAGGAGAGUAGAAUUCCUAGUGUAGCGGUGAAAUGCGUAGAUAUUAGGAGGAAUACCAGUAGCGAAGGCGGCUCUCUGGACUGUAACUGACACUGAGGCACGAAAGCGUGGGGAGCAAAC
This 399-nucleotide ribosomal RNA is filed under the name uncultured bacterium. RNAcentral describes it as "bacterial SSU rRNA". It matches the Rfam family "Bacterial small subunit ribosomal RNA", at positions 356 to 773 of the family's 1533-position model. The record is from RNAcentral.